RNAcentral lists this ribosomal RNA (446 nucleotides) under uncultured bacterium. Its description in RNAcentral is "bacterial SSU rRNA". It matches the Rfam family "Bacterial small subunit ribosomal RNA", at positions 330 to 793 of the family's 1533-position model. The record is from RNAcentral.
GCCAGACUCCUACGGGAGGCAGCAGUGGGGAAUAUUGCACAAUGGGGGAAACCCUGAUGCAGCGACGCCGCGCGAGUGAGGAAGUAUUUCGGUAUGUAAAGCUCUAUCAGCAGGGAAGAAAAUGACGGUACCUGACCAAGAAGCCCCGGCUAACUACGUGCCAGCAGCCGCGGUAAUACGUAGGGGGCAAGCGUUAUCCGGAUUUACUGGGUGUAAAGGGAGCGUAGGCGGCUGUGUAAGCCAGAAGUGAAAGCCCGAGGCUCAACCACGGGACUGCUUUUGGAACUACAUGGCUCGAUUGCAGGAGAGGCAAGUGGAAUUCCUAGUGUAGCGGUGAAAUGCGUAGAUAUCGGGAGGAACACCAGUGGCGAAGGCGGUUUACUGGACCACAACUGACGCUGAGACACGAAAGCGUGGGGAGCAAACAGGAUUAGAUACCCUCGUAC